Molecule: ribosomal RNA, 492 nt
Filed under: uncultured bacterium
Lineage: Bacteria
Description: partial 16S ribosomal RNA
Rfam family: Bacterial small subunit ribosomal RNA
Source: RNAcentral
AGUGAACGCUGGCGGUAGGCCUAACACAUGCCAGUCGAACGGCAGCACAGUAAGAGCUUGCUCUUACGGGUGGCGAGUGGCGGACGGGUGAGGAAUACAUCGGAAUCUACUUUUUCGUGGGGGAUAACGUAGGGAAACUUACGCUAAUACCGCAUACGACCUACGGGUGAAAGCAGGGGAUCUUCGGACCUUGCGCGAUUGAAUGAGCCGAUGUCGGAUUAGCUAGUUGGCGGGGUAAAGGCCCACCAAGGCGACGAUCCGUAGCUGGUCUGAGAGGAUGAUCAGCCACACUGGAACUGAGACACGGCCCAGACUCCUACGGGAGGCAGCAGUGGGGAAUAUUGGACAAUGGGCGCAAGCCUGAUCCAGCCAUACCGCGUGGGUGAAGAAGGCCUUCGGGUUGUAAAGUCCUUUUGUUGGGAAAGAAAAGCAGCAGGUUAAUACCCCGCUGUUCUGACGGUACCCAAAGAAUAAGCACCGGCUAACUUCGUG